This 29-nucleotide unclassified non-coding RNA is filed under the name Mus musculus (house mouse). RNAcentral's name for it is "oocyte_clustered_small_RNA8757". The record is from RNAcentral. Lineage: Eukaryota; Metazoa; Chordata; Mammalia; Rodentia; Muridae.
CUCUGCUCCCCAAGGAGGACCCUGACAUC